AUUGAACGCUGGCGGAACGCUUUACACAUGCAAGUCGAACGGCAGCACGGACUUCGGUCUGGUGGCGAGUGGCGAACGGGUGAGUAAUGUAUCGGAACGUGCCCAGUCGUGGGGGAUAACGUAGUGAAAAUUACGCUAAUACCGCAUACGAUCUAUGGAUGAAAGCGGGGGAUCGCAAGACCUCGCGCGAUUGGAGCGGCCGAUAUCAGAUUAGGUAGUUGGUGGGGUAAAGGCCCACCAAGCCAACGAUCUGUAGCUGGGCUGAGAGGACGACCAGCCACACUGGAACUGAGACACGGUCCAGACUCCUACGGGAGGCAGCAGUGGGGAAUUUUGGACAAUGGGCGAAAGCCUGAUCCAGCCAUUCCGCGUGCAGGAUGAAGGCCCUCGGGUUGUAAACUGCUUUUGUACAGAACGAAAAGGUUUCUACUAAUACUAGGAGCUCAUGACGGUACUGUAAGAAUAAGCACCGGCUAACUACGUGCCAGCCGCCGCGGUAA
RNAcentral lists this ribosomal RNA (500 nucleotides) under uncultured bacterium. RNAcentral describes it as "partial 16S ribosomal RNA". It matches the Rfam family "Bacterial small subunit ribosomal RNA", at positions 30 to 523 of the family's 1533-position model. The record is from RNAcentral.